RNAcentral lists this ribosomal RNA (491 nucleotides) under uncultured bacterium. Its description in RNAcentral is "partial 16S ribosomal RNA". It matches the Rfam family "Bacterial small subunit ribosomal RNA", at positions 29 to 507 of the family's 1533-position model. The record is from RNAcentral.
GUGCACGCUGGCGGUAGGCCUAACACGUGCCAGUCGCACGGCAGCACAGUAAGAGCUUGCUCUUACGGGUGGCGAGUGGCGGACGGGUGAGGAAUACAUCGGAAUCUACUUUUUCGUGGGGGAUAACGUAGGGAAACUUACGCUAAUACCGCAUACGACCUACGGGUGAAAGCAGGGGAUCUUCGGACCUUGCGCGAUUGAAUGAGCCGAUGUCGGAUUAGCUAGUUGGCGGGGUAAAGGCCCACCAAGGCGACGAUCCGUAGCUGGUCUGAGAGGAUGAUCAGCCACACUGGAACUGAGACACGGUCCAGACUCCUACGGGAGGCAGCAGUGGGGAAUAUUGGACAAUGGGCGCAAGCCUGAUCCAGCCAUACCGCGUGGGUGAAGAAGGCCUUCGGGUUGUAAAGCCCUUUUGUUGGGAAAGAAAAGCAGCAGGUUAAUACCCCGCUGUUCUGACGGUACCCAAAGAAUAAGCACCGGCUAACUUCGUG